This 340-nucleotide ribosomal RNA is filed under the name uncultured archaeon. RNAcentral describes it as "partial 16S ribosomal RNA". It matches the Rfam family "Archaeal small subunit ribosomal RNA", at positions 133 to 475 of the family's 1478-position model. The record is from RNAcentral.
CGGGAAACUGGGGAUAAUCCCUGAUAGAUCUCGGUCGCUGGAAUGCUCCUAGAUCCAAAGCUCCGGCGCUCAAGGAUGGUUCUGCGUCCUAUCAGGUAGUAGUGGGUGUAGCGUACCUACUAGCCUACGACGGGUACGGGUUGUGAGAGCAAGAGCCCGGAGCUGGAUUCUGAGACACGAAUCCAGGCCCUACGGGGUGCAGCAGGCGCGAAAACUUUACAAUGCCGGCAACGGCGAUAAGGGAACCUCGAGUGCCAGGGUACAAAUCUGGCUGUCGUGAUGCCUAAAAAGCAUUGCAUAGCAAGGGCCGGGCAAGACCGGUGCCAGCCGCCGCGUAACA